UGGGGAAUAUUGCACAAUGGGGGAAACCCUGAUGCAGCAACGCCGCGUGAGUGAAGAAGUGAUUCGUUAUGUAAAGCUCUAUCAGCAGGGAAGAAAAUGACGGUACCUGAGUAAGCAGCCCCGGCUAACUACGUGCCAGCAGCCGCGGUAAUACGUAGGGGGCAAGCGUUAUCCGGAUUUACUGGGUGUAAAGGGAGCGUAGACGGCCAUGCAAGUCUGAAGUGAAAUGCCAGUGCUCAACACUGGAACUGCUUUGGAAACUGUGAGGCUGGAGUGCAGGAGAGGUAAGUGGAAUUCCUAGUGUAGCGGUGAAAUGCGUAGAUAUUAGGAGGAACACCAGUGGCGAAGGCGGCUUACUGGACUGUAACUGACGUUGAGGCUCGAAAGCGUGGGGAGCAAACAGGAUUAGAUACC
Molecule: ribosomal RNA, 414 nt
Filed under: uncultured bacterium
Lineage: Bacteria
Description: bacterial SSU rRNA
Rfam family: Bacterial small subunit ribosomal RNA
Source: RNAcentral